GUUCUGUGGUCACCUGUGCAAAACCUUCCCCAUCUGCCCCUGACUGGAGUAGUUCAAAUGCAGACAAUCAUAUUGGUCAGGGAUCAGCCUUGACUUCAGGAAAAGGAAUUGCAACUAGUGAAGGACAAGAUCAUCUGUGACCUGGAAGGGAGGAAAGGCUCCAACAGAAUGGCUUUUGCCUUGAGACAGAGAAAUGAAGGGUUGGGCUCUGAUCAGAGAUGUUUGGCAGAGAUGAUGGUCAGUCCUUCCUCCUGAGAGAGCCUCACUUGCUCUCCCAGCUCCGAGACCUGCGCCUAUGAGAAAACAAGCUGUGCAAACCCUAACUGUGUCAACAAUAGAAGCCCGUCCAGCUGUCGUUGAUCUGCACAGCCAGAGAACUUCCUCCCUGAGGACACUGCUGUCAGAGCUGUGAGAUCAGAGCAGGAGGGUCAGGCCUGGCCUGAGCAGCCAGAUGGGUCCCCCAGCCCCCUGCAACCUCCCCCACAGCGUUGCCCUGGUUUGACCCAAUGGCUGCAUGUCCCCCAAAGUACAGCAGGACCCAGGGAAAGGGUGUGUGGAGCAGCUGUGCAGCAAUGAGGGACAGAGCUGCUUUGGGGAAGGCAGGAGGAUGAUUGCUUCCUCCAGCUCCCAUGGACCUCUGAGCAAAGGGGGCGAUUUCCAGCCCCUCUGAGGGAUUUAUAUUGUGGGACCUGAUAUAUGCUGGAGCCAUUUUGAGAGCAAGAGGUAUCCACCUGGAACCACAAACCCACCCAAAAUUGCAUUGGGGAGGUGUCAAACAGGAGACAAGGGAGAUUCAGGAACGAGCCAUGUGGGUGGGAAGGUUUUCACCCAGCACAGACUCUGCAGGUGGGAACGUGGACAGGGGCACCGGGCUGAGCUGGGUUGCUACCCCUCUGACCAAAACCGUCUGUGCCCCAGGGUGCAGGUGCCAGUGUGAUGGCCCAGGACAUCUGCAGCUCCCCAGGGGAUGAUCUGAGACAUUUUGCAGCCCUGAAAAAAGUAGAAUUGUACCAGGCCAUCCCUGUGCCAUCUCUCCAGGUGACCUCCCAGCUCCUGCCCUCCAAGAUCACCUCCAAGACUCAGCAGGGAGAGUUCAUCUUUUGUAAGGAGUGGGUGUAGGGAACCGAGAUUAUAUGACCCUGGGAGAAACAUAGAAGGGGAACUUGGCAAGAUGAAUGCGGAUGUGGUGAGAUGUAUCCUUGUGUGUGGGAAAUUAAUUGAGAGUAAUUUUCUCCUAGACAGUGAAUGCUUAACUAAAAAGUAGAUAUAGAGAAAAGUUACUAAAAAGAAUUUACUGCUGAUGUAACGGUAUAUAAACCGUGAAAGAACUGUAAUAAAUGAUUCAAUUAUACCA
This 1354-nucleotide long non-coding RNA is filed under the name Manacus vitellinus (golden-collared manakin). RNAcentral describes it as "lncRNA (ENSMVIG00005016888.1)". The record is from RNAcentral. Lineage: Eukaryota; Metazoa; Chordata; Aves; Passeriformes; Pipridae.